CAAUAGCGUAUAUUAAAGUUGUUGCGGUAAAAAAGCUCGUAGUUGGAUUUCUGUUGAGAGCGAACGGUCCAUACCAUGUAUGCGUAUCUGGCUUGCUCUCGGCAUCCUCUCGAUAGACGUUACUGCGCUUGAUUGCGUGGUGCGGAUCUCGGGACUUUUACUUUGAGGAAAUUAGAGUGUUCACGGCAGGCUUUCGCCAGAAUACAUUAGCAUGGAAUAAUACUAUAGGAUCUUGGUUCUAUUUUGUUGGUUUCUAGAAUUGAGAUAAUGAUUAAUAGGGACAAUUGGGGGCAUUCGUAUCAACACGUCAGAGGUGGAAUUCUUGGAUUGUGUUGCGACGAACUACUGCGAAAGCAUUUGCCAAGGAUGUUUUCAUUGA
Molecule: ribosomal RNA, 379 nt
Filed under: uncultured eukaryote
Lineage: Eukaryota
Description: partial 18S ribosomal RNA
Rfam family: Eukaryotic small subunit ribosomal RNA
Source: RNAcentral